Molecule: long non-coding RNA, 8196 nt
Filed under: Brassica rapa (field mustard)
Lineage: Eukaryota; Viridiplantae; Streptophyta; Magnoliopsida; Brassicales; Brassicaceae
Description: long non-coding RNA (BRAP_LNC009002)
Source: RNAcentral
UCUUCCAAAACACCGCUGAACGAAACGCGGGAAAACUCGGAGCAAACUGGGAAGGUCCCUAUAAAAUCGAAAAAGUCGUCCGACCGGGUUCUUACGAAAUAGCCAACAUGCAGGGCAUAAAAAUCCCUAGAACCUGGAAUGCGAUGCAUCUCAAAAAAUACUAUCACUAAACAAACCAACUCGCAAUCACUGAACUACGAGACGGCUUGAUCUCCGCAAGGAGUACGUAGGCAGUUUGCCGAAAGGCAAAUUCAGCUGUCCCCCCUCAUUAAAAAAGGGGGGGGAGUGGGUACGUAUACUCAUAUACUCCCAAAAAAUCGAAAAAACUUCUUACCACACUUUUGGUGUUUUCGACUUACCAAAACAUCCUCACCCGCGAAAUCGCAACAAGGUCUUCGGAAAUCAGUCUGCCGCUUGGGAGAAUCAACCUUUAGCAUCGCAAGACGUCGCAAAAGAUGCCUCAAAGCUGGUUUCUUCCGAGCAAACGAAAUCUCCGCAAAAAAACACACACAUGCCCACAUUAACAUUUAUUUUGCGCAAAAUAAUCAAAACAACAGCACACGCCACCAAGUCCGAUGCUGAUCACAUCGAACUCAUAAACGUCCUAAACAGACAUAGACAUCUCAUGGAGAUGACUCUCUUACAUCCGACACAAGGAUAAUAGCGCUAUAAAAGAAAUCCGAAAUUUUGGUCUAGCACUUCCGGUCUCGGAGAGAUGCUCGAUUCGUAUCAAACAAGUCGUGUAAGCCGAGAACUUUUCGCGGACUUUACAUCGAUACGAAUCAGGAAGAAAUCGCGACAGGAAAAACGAUAGCCGGUUAGUCACCGCACAAUCCUUAAACCGAAAGUAAACCUAGGUCUUGCCCUAAACCCAGCGCUCUGGUCUCUAACAUCUCAAAGGCAUUAUAUCGAAAGAUAGGAGAUUCUUAAACCACGCCUCUAUGUUUACGUUCGAUACCUUCAGCACCCCCGCAGAGUUCACAUCUCGCGGAAGAACUCUCGAAACAGGUCUCGAAUAAAACAUUUCGCAAUUGAAGAAGGAUAUGAGACGACAACUCAUCACCUUCCUCCCCACUGUUCACGAAUUCGCACUAAAAGCAUUAUCCGAUUAUCGUACCAUAAAAAUAAAGCCGCGGAGUGGCAGGGAUUCAAAGCCACACACGGCCAGUCCCGAAAUACAAACAAGGCCGUUCAAGGCCGAAAUAUAAAAACAUAAAAAAUCUCUUGCAAGAGAUCUAACCCAAGUCACCCUCAGAACUUACGACCCCUCUUCACCCGCUGCCUCGUCCGAGCCUGGAGCCGCGUCACUUCCGUUCUCUCCGACCAUCGGGUCUUUCCCCUCUGGGUCUUCUGAACACGUCGGAAGGAAGCACGCGGAUUUCAGGUCGGCCAGGAUAAGAUCGAAAUCUCCAUCCUCGGCCGCCAUAUCUCCCUUGCAGCCGGACAGCCGGGCCUCUUCGGCCUCCAAGGUCGGGGGAGUCUCACUUUGGAACGACCGAACUACGGCCAUCCCGCCCUCAAUCGUCGCCAAAGCAAAAUCCCUACUUCGGAUACACUCGAGGGAACCCAGGGAAGCAGAAAUCUUCGCCAAGCGAGCUUGAAACUCCGCGCGAAGGGCAUCCAUAGCCUCUUGGAUCCCGCGGCGCGCUAGUCCAGCAUCACUCUCGAUCUGACGCUGGAGUCGACGCACCUCCGAGGAUUUGGCCUUCCUGGCCUUCUUUUCCUUAAGCAAGGAGCUCGCCGUCUUCCCGAGGUCCCUCUCAAGCUCUCCUAUCGCAACCUCGAGCUUCGACACUUUCGCAGAGUGAGAGUCCUCGACAGCCGUCAACAUAGCCUCGGUUUCGGACCAUCUGCCCUGAAGCUCCACCAACUCCCCGGAAAGGCGACUGGUCUCAGAACCACAUUCGCUGAUCAUCCCAUCGAUCAACGAUAUGAACUGCGAACGGUAAAAUUGGUUAGACUAAGUCCGUGGAAAGAAUACACGAAAGACGAUCGAGAAUUCAUACAAGAGACAAACCUUUCCGCGAAGUCCCGACGCUAGGCUCGACCCACCUCGCUGCGAAGUCUCCCCGUCACCGCUCUUGGCAAGUUUCCUCUUCCGACUCUUAGGCUGAGUAGCCAGGACAGCGCUAGGAGCACGCAAUGCCAGAACGAUUUCUUUUCUGGCUGGAGGCGGAGGCAUAGAGUCAGCGGCUUUCUCUUUGUCCUCGACGAGGAUCGGAGUCGUGGAAGAUCCCGUAGGUAGGACUUGCGGGAGAGGAGCCGCGACGACGAUCCCAUGACACGGGGCAAUGACCUGCGCGGAAGAAGACGGAAGCUCGGACCCAGUUUGAGCUAGUUCUUUCUCGGCUUGACGACGAACUAGUUUCUCUCGGAAAGAAAGAUGACCGGCAACACAAGCCGGCACUUCCGCCGGAGAAGUUGGAAUCGGAGCCGGAGAAGUGGCCUCACCCAUCUCGACGUCGGAAUCUUUCUUAUAACCUUGGGAGGAAGACAUGUUGAGAGGAAAGUUAUGAAACUAGAGAGGUUUUUGAAGGAAUGAAGAAGGGAAGGUGUGAAGAAAAUGAAUGACAAAAGCUCACUACUUAUAGAAGUAUGGGUUCGGAAUGUCGUCUCGACAACUUUUUUCCGCGGAAUUUUAAAUGUAAAUUUCGUCUAAUACACUUAAACUUGUCAAAAUCACCUAUCCGCCCGCUAGAGUCACAACUCUAACGGGCUGGGGGGCUAACUGUUGGGGUCAAAAACGGUUACGACGAAUUUAACAUUGAAAGCGUCCGAGGAGGAAAAUAAGAAUCUCUCCGAAGAGUAUUUUUCGAAAUAGACUCUUUCUUACGAAAAAGCUCUACGGAAGAAAGAAUCGAGAUGUCCGACGAAAAGCUCGAAACAGGUCGCUACGCAGCGACCAAGCGAUCGUCCCGCUCGGUCGCUACGUAGCGACCGAGCUCGAGCCAAAGCUUGGUCGCUACGCAGCGACCGAGCGAUCGUCCCGCUCGGUCGCUACGUAGCGACCGAGCUCGAGCCAAAGCUCGGUCGCUACGUAGCGACCGAGCGAUCGCCCCGCUCGGUCGCUACGUAGCGACCGAGCGAUCGUCCCGCUCGGUCGCUACGUAGCGACCUAGCUCAGCCAAGCUCGGUCGCUACGUAGCGACCGAGCGAUCGUCCCGCUCGGUCGCUACGUAGCGACCGAGCUCAAGCCAAAGCUCGGUCGCUACGUAGCGACCGAGCACUCGUCUCACUCGGUCGCUACGUAGCGACCGGGCUCGAGCCAAAGUUCGGUCGCUGUGUAGCGAUUGAACCUUUCCGAACAUCGAUACGACACCAGUCCAUGCAUUCUCGUCAAACCUUCGAAUGCUAUCUCCCGAAGACCGUAGCAAGCUCAGUCCAUGUUUCCCGCUAUUCUAAUUCAUCGAUCAAACUUCGCGGAUUAAAAACCGUGGAAAACUCGUAGUAAACGUGUCGAGUCGGAAGACGGCCCAAAGGGACCUAAAACACGAUUCGAAGCCCAUCCUACGAUUUUCCUAACCAAAAGCCCGUAAACCAUGGCAUGGUUUACGCUUGGCCCACGAGGAAGGAUAAAUGUCAAGUUUCCGCGGAUAAAUACGGAAGUUUUGAAGAUAAUUAUGAAGAACGGGAAAAAUGGAAAAUCUCCAUUUUAUGCUAUGACGGCUUAAGGGCAGAAGAGUAAAAGCGUAAACCGACCUUGGAGCUAGUAUAUAAGGAGUCCUAGGCGAGGAGCAGAGAAGAGAACUUUUUCAGAGCAAACUUAGCACUUAGAGCAAUUUAGGCAAUUUUCCGUUUUUGUUAUUUCGAGCUGCGACUCAAUUAGGUUUAGCCGUCUUAGGGUUGCUAGAACUAGGAAUCUCGCCGACAGCUCUCGAGCCCAGGCUUAUACCUUGUUGUAACGCUCAUACGCAGAUUCGGAAUAAGAUCAACUUUGCUCUCUUUUCGAUUUCUUAUUUUUAUCGUUGUUAUUCUCGUGUUCUGAUUGCUUGACGUGUGGUAAUUAACAGAUAUCCGGGUCCUCUGGAAAUUAGGGUUUUCCUAGUUUCCUUAUUUAAACGGAAAUCGACAGUGUGAAUUUCGGUUCCCACAGUUUGGCGCUAGAAGGAGGGGCACUUACGGAUCAAUCUAACCCGCAAAAGCCACUCAACGAUCAGGAACGAUAUGCGAGAUUCGACGUGCGCGAACGUCAUCUCAUUCAAGGGGGGAGAAACGAUCGAUCGGGCCAAACCUCGAAACGAUCUCCUUGUUAUCGAGUUGACGAUUCGAGAUAUCGACGUCGCUAGAGUACUAAUCGAUACCGGAAGCUCGGCCGAUAUCAUCUUCAAAGACACUCUUGAAAAGAUGGGGGUCAGUCAAUCCGAAAUCGCGAAAUACCCAAGCCCAUUGCUAGACUUUCGGGGGAAACGACCAUGGCCUAUGCAUCGAUUAGACUCGCUGUCAAAGCCGGAACCGUGACUAACAUCACAGAGUUUCUAGUCGUUGACCGCCCCGCAUCUUACAACGUUAUCAUGGGGACGCCAUGGCUAAACACCAUGCGCGCAAUCCCAUCAACCUACCAUCUUUGCCUCAAGUUCCCGACCCCUAACGGAGUCGAGGUAAUCUGGGGAAAUCCAAGAGUUUCACAGGUUUGCUUCACCGCGGAACUAAAACAAAAGAGACCGAUCCUCGAAGUUACUCCUAAGAAAGCGGAGAAAAAGACCUCCGGCAAAAAUACGAAAAGUCAGGAUUCAGCGGAAUUCUUCUGGCAGUCUCGGAUCAUCGCAGCCCUAGAUGAAAAACGCGAGCCAACAUGCGAACCUGUGGUAACGAUCUGUCUCGACGAAGCCUUCCCAGAACGCUGCGUCGAGAUUGGAGCCAAUCUCCACGAGCCUUUAAGGACAGAACUCAUAACCUGUCUUAAAAAGAACCUUAAUACUUUCGCAUGGGCUGCGGAAGAUAUGCCAGGAAUCGACAUUAACAUAACAUGUCACGAGCUGAAUAUCGACCCGACAUUCAAACCUGUCAAACAGAAAAGACGGAAGCUGGGACCCGAACGUGCUACCGCAGUAAACGAUGAGGUCGAAAAACUGCUUAAAGUUGGGUCGAUAACGAAAGUAAGAUACCCGGACUGGCUCGCCAACCCCGUAGUAGUCAAAAAGAAAAACGGGAAGUGGCGAGUUUGCGUAGAUUUUACCGACCUAAACAAGGCAUGUCCAAAGGAUAGCUUCCCUCUACCACAUAUCGAUCGAUUGGUAGAAGCAACAGCGGGCAACGAACUCUAUCCUUCAUGGAUGCCUUCUCAGGUUAUAAUCAAAUUAGGAUGAAUCCCGACGAUCGUGAGAAGACUGCGUUCAUUACCGAUCGCGGAACUUAUUGCUAUAAGGUAAUGCCCUUCGGCCUCAAAAACGCUGGAGCAACUUACCAACGACUCGUGAACCGAAUGUUCUCCAAACAACUCGGAAAAACGAUGGAAGUUUAUAUCGACGACAUGCUCGUCAAAUCCCUCAAAGCAAGAGAUCACGUGUCACAUCUCGAAGAAUGCUUUUCACAACUAAACUCCCAUAACAUGAAGCUCAACCCGACGAAAUGUAGAUUCGCCGUGGCAUCAGGAGAAUUCCUCGGCUACUUGGUCACCAACCGCGGCAUCGAAGCAAAUCCAAAACAGAUCAACGCACUAAUCGAGAUGGCUUCACCAAAGAACAAGCGGGAGGUCCAGAGACUGACCGGCAGAAUCGCAGCGCUUAACCUGUUUAUUUCACGAUCAACAGAUAAGUGCCUGCCCUUCUACGACGUCCUAUGAGGAAAUAAAAAAUUCGAAUGGACGGAAGAGUGCGAAAAAGCCUUCCAACAGCUGAAGCGUUAUUUAGCUACUCCUCCAGUCCUCGCAAAACCUGUAGAAGGGGAGCCUUUAUUCUUGUACAUCGCGGUGUCAGCGACGGCCGUAAGCGGAGUCCUGAUCAGGGAAGAACGCGGAGAGCAGAAACCUAUUUUCUACAUAAGCAAAACCUUGCUGGAUGCCGAAUCUAGGUAUCCGUUAAUGGAAAAAUUGGCAUGCGCGGUCGUGACAUCGGCCCGAAAACUAAGACCAUAUUUCCAAUCCCACACGAUUGUCGUCCUCACGACUUUUCCCUUACGGACAAUUCUGCAUAGCCCAAGUCAAUCAGGUCGAUUGGCUAAGUGGGCGAUCGAGUUGAGCGAGUAUGACAUCGAAUACCGACCAAGGACGAGCGCAAAAUCACAAGUGCUUGCAGACUUCUUGGUCGAACUUCCAACGGGAGCAAUAACCAAUGAGGAACCAAAUUCUACCUGGCUCCUCCACGUCGAUGGAUCCUCAUCCAAACAAGGAUCGGGUAUCGGGAUCCGUCUCACAUCUCCAACGAGCGAGAUCUUGGAACAAUCGUUCAGACUGGAAUUCCAUGCCUCAAACAACGAGGCCGAAUACGAAGCAUUGAUCGCAGGUCUACGUUUGGCUCACGGCUUAAAGAUACGUAAUCUCCACGCUUACUGCGACUCCCAGUUAGUGGCCAGUCAAUUCAGCGGAGAAUAUGAAGCCAGAGACGAACGGAUGGACGCGUACCUCAAACUGGUCCAAGGUCUAGCUCAAGAUUUCGACUGUUUCGCCCUUACCCGGAUCCCCCGUUCCGAGAAUGUCCAGGCGGACGCCCUCGCGGCCUUAGCAUCAAGUUCCGAUCCAGGACUCAAAAGGGUAAUUCCGGUCGAAUUCAUCGAACAUCCGAGUAUCGGACCACCAGUCGUUGUCAAUCUCAUAGAGGGUCAAGACGACGAGGAAGAAGAGAUUACGAUACCACCACCAUCGGAGCAAUCUGAUUACGGCUGCGAUACCCAUGGCUUCAGACGAUUCGAGACUACAUUAUCGACGGGCAACUGCCCGCCGAAAAAUGGGCGCUCGCAAGAUCCGAACACAGGCCGCACGCUACGUAACAGUGGACGGCGAAAUCUACAAAUGGAGAUUCUCCGGACCACUCCUGACGUGCCUGGAAGGAGAAAAGGCGAGGAAAGUAAUGGAGGAAAUACAUUCCGGCUCAUGCGGCAACCAUUCCGGCGGAAGAUCACUAGCCGUGAAAAUCAAACGCCACGGAUACUAUUGGCCAACAAUGAUCGGAGAUUGCGAGAAAUUAGCAAAAAAAUGCAAAAAAUGCCAAAGGCAUGCGCCAACUAUCCGACAACCGGCCGAAGUUCUUUCUUCCAUCACAUCGCCCUAUCCUUUUAUGCGCUGGGCCAUGGAUAUUGUCGGACCUCUGCAUAAUUCAAAGCAAAAGCGUUUCCUUCUAGUCCUUACCGAUUUUUUCUCAAAAUGGGUAGAGGCGGACUCGUACGCAAGUAUAAAAGACGUCCAAGUCGAGAAUUUCGUAUGGAGAAACAUCAUCUGUAGGCAUGGAGUUCCUUACGAAAUCGUAACCGAUAACGGGUCUCAAUUCAUUUCCACCCGAUUCGAGGCAUUCUGCGAAAAGUGGAAGAUACGACUCAACAAGUCAACUCCCAGAUAUCCGCAGUGCAACGGACAGGCUGAAACAAUCAACAAGACCAUUCUCGACGGACUGAAGAAACGCUUGGAGGCCAAAAAAGGUAGAUGGGCCGACGAACUCGAGGGAGUCCUCUGGUCUCACCGUACCACCCCAAGGCGAGCAACGGGAGAAACUCCCUUCGCCCUGGUAUACGGCACGGAAUGCAUGAUUCCCGCAGAAGUAGAAUUUCCCGGUGUUCGAAGAAGGUUCUUACCUGAACGAGAGGAACUCAACAAUGCUAUGCUCUUGGACGACCUCGACCUCAUUAACGAACGCCGGGAUCGAGCGCUCAUCCGAAUUCAAAACUACCAGCACGCCGCUGCAAGAUACUAUAAUUCCAACGUACGGAAUCGUAGGUUCAAUCAGGGAGAUCUGGUCCUUCGCAAAGUCUUCCAAAACACCGCUGAACGAAACGCGGGAAAACUCGGAGCAAACUGGGAAGGUCCCUAUAAAAUCGAAAAAGUCGUCCGACCGGUUCUUACGAAAUAGCCAACAUGCAGGGCAUAAAAAUCCCUAGAACCUGGAAUGCGAUGCAUCUCAAAAAAUACUAUCACUAAACAAACCAACUCGCAAUCACUGAACUACGAGACGGCUUGAUCUCCGCAAGGAGUACGUAGGCAGUUUGCCGAAAGGCAAAUUCAGCUGUCCCCCCUCAUUAAAAAAGGGGGGGGAGUGGGUACGUAUACUC